UGGGGAAUUUUGGACGAAUUGGGCGAAAGCCUGAUCCAGCAAUGCCGCGUGUGUGAAGAAGGCCUUCGGGUUGUAAAGCACUUUUGUCCGGAAAGAAAUCCUUGGCUCUAAUACAGUCGGGGGAUGACGGUACCGGAAGAAUAAGCACCGGCUAACUACGUGCCAGCAGCCGCGGUAAUACGUAGGGUGCAAGCGUUAAUCGGAAUUACUGGGCGUAAAGCGUGCGCAGGCGGUUUGCUAAGACCGAUGUGAAAUCCCCGGGCUCAACCUGGGAACUGCAUUGGUGACUGGCAGGCUAGAGUAUGGCAGAGGGGGGUAGAAUUCCACGUGUAGCAGUGAAAUGCGUAGAGAUGUGGAGGAAUACCGAUGGCGAAGGCAGCCCCCUGGGCCAAUA
Molecule: ribosomal RNA, 394 nt
Filed under: uncultured bacterium
Lineage: Bacteria
Description: partial 16S ribosomal RNA
Rfam family: Bacterial small subunit ribosomal RNA
Source: RNAcentral